RNAcentral lists this transfer RNA (63 nucleotides) under Anurida maritima. RNAcentral's name for it is "tRNA-Phe". Lineage: Eukaryota; Metazoa; Arthropoda; Collembola; Poduromorpha; Neanuridae. The record is from RNAcentral.
ACUUAAAUAGCUUAAUAAGAGUGUAGCAUUGAAGCUGCUAGGGUAAAGAUGUCUUUUUAAGUG